RNAcentral lists this transfer RNA (58 nucleotides) under Rhodospirillaceae bacterium. RNAcentral describes it as "tRNA-Thr". It matches the Rfam family "tRNA", at positions 9 to 63 of the family's 71-position model. From Rfam's summary of the family: Transfer RNA (tRNA) molecules are approximately 80 nucleotides in length. Their secondary structure includes four short double-helical elements and three loops (D, anti-codon, and T loops). Further hydrogen bonds mediate the characteristic L-shaped molecular structure. tRNAs have two regions of fundamental functional importance: the anti-codon, which is responsible for specific mRNA codon recognition, and the 3' end, to which the tRNAs corresponding amino acid is attached (by aminoacyl-tRNA synthetases). tRNAs cope with the degeneracy of the genetic code in two manners: having more than one tRNA (with a specific anti-codon) for a particular amino acid; and 'wobble' base-pairing, i.e. permitting non-standard base-pairing at the 3rd anti-codon position. The record is from RNAcentral. Lineage: Bacteria; Pseudomonadati; Pseudomonadota; Alphaproteobacteria; Rhodospirillales; Rhodospirillaceae.
AGCUCAGCUGGUAGAGCAUCGCAUUCGUAAUGCGGGGGUCGGGUGUUCAAGUCACCCA